RNAcentral lists this ribosomal RNA (468 nucleotides) under uncultured bacterium. RNAcentral describes it as "partial 16S ribosomal RNA". It matches the Rfam family "Bacterial small subunit ribosomal RNA", at positions 28 to 507 of the family's 1533-position model. The record is from RNAcentral.
GACGAACGCUGGCGGCGUGCUUAACACAUGCAAGUCGAACGGAAAGGCCCUGCGUUUGUGGGGUGCUCGAGUGGCGAACGGGUGAGUAACACGUGUGUAACCUGCCCUUGACUUUGUGAGAACUUCAGGAAAAUGGGGCUAAUACCGGAGAUGAUCUCCUGCUGCAUGUGGGGGGUUGGAAAAUUUCGGCGGUGCUGGAUGGACUCGCGGCUUAUCCGCUUGUUGGUGGGGUAGUGGCUUACCAAGGCUUCGACGGGUAGCCCGCCUGAGAGGGUGACCGGCCACAUUGCGACUGAGAUACGCACCAGUCUCCUAUGGGAGGCAGCAGUGGGGAAUAUGGCACAAUGGGCGGAAGCCUGAUGCAGCAACGCUGCGUGCGUGAUGACGUCCUUCGGGUGGUAAACAGAUUUCGAAGGUGACGAAGCGGGAGUGACGGUAACGGGUAAAGAAGCACCGGCUAACUACGUG